Molecule: long non-coding RNA, 243 nt
Filed under: Dermacentor andersoni
Lineage: Eukaryota; Metazoa; Arthropoda; Arachnida; Ixodida; Ixodidae
Description: uncharacterized LOC126531830
Source: RNAcentral
GAUGCACUGCCAACAUUGAACUUGCCGCAGCGCAGAUUUGACAAGCAAAAGCUGCCUCGCAAGCCACCGGCAAAGAGAGCCCCUGUUUCAAGGCAAUCAAGGAUGCCAGGAAGCAUAGCCGACGAUGUUGCAGGUCAUGCCUCUGUUCAUGAAGAAAAUCCUGCUGAGGAGACUGCGUACGAAGGUAUGCUUCUGUGAGAUUACCAAAUUGGCUACUAUUUUUGCUAGCUAGCAUUCUGACUU